UUUCCGUAGGUGAACCUGCGGAAGGAUCAUUGUCGAAACCUGCCCAGCAGAACGACCCGCGAACUUGCAUAAACAACCGGGGGCGGGGGGCGUUCUCGCCCCGUGCCCCCGAACGGCGGGGAGACACUCGUGCCUUCUUGCCGAACAACGAACCCCGGCGCGGUCUGCGCCAAGGAACUUCAACUAAAGAGUGCCUCCGGUCGCCUCGGAAACGGCGUGCGUGCCGGGGGCGAAUCUUGUGCAAAACCAUAACGACUCUCGGCAACGGAUAUCUCGGCUCUC
RNAcentral lists this unclassified non-coding RNA (282 nucleotides) under plant metagenome. RNAcentral's name for it is "partial contains small subunit ribosomal RNA, internal transcribed spacer 1, and 5.8S ribosomal RNA". The record is from RNAcentral.